GUAUGUAAACUAAAACUAUACACAGCCACAGGUAGGAAUAACUCAAUGCUUACUACGUGCCAGGCACUUUGUCUGGAUCACAAUGGAUCUUUAUGACAAGUAUUAUGUCUCUUAAACCCUACUUUAGAGGGUGAAAAUACUCAAACACACAACUUAAUCUACAUUAAUUAUCCAAAAUGCUGAUUCCCCUUUAAACAUUUCAGACUGAUGACAUGAGGGGCUGCUAGCUGUCCCACUGUGUUGAGUAGUGAUUCUGCUCCUUAACUGUAAUUGUCCGCCUUGAAUGUUUCACAGAUGAGAAGAGGGAGGCAUGGAGAGUCUGGAUCACUAAAGCCAACCUGCCAGGCUUGCAAGAGGCAGAGCCAGGAGGAGACCCAGGCAGCCUGACUCCAGAAGCUAUGUUCCUAACCAAAGUCACACUGGGCAACACUGUACUUGAGCACCUUAUUCUCUACAUUUUCAUCCUUGAGGCAGAAAACAAGCGAAGGCUCUUCCAGGCACACAGCUUGUCCAUGCUCAGCCUCCCUUGCAUUUAUGCUAUAAGCAGACUGGUGUGCGUUAUUGGCAGACCUUCCCAUAGAGCCGUCCCCUCCAAUAGCUGCCUUAGUGCUGUCCACCUGCCACAUAAGGGAGGAGGCCCUAGAAAUGGCAACAUGGACAAAUGGACAGUCUGGGCACUUCAAAGACUGAAUGGAACCCAGGUCCUUCCAUCUCCAUGCCAACCCCAGUCCACAAUGUCUAACUAUCCUGGCCUGUGACCAACGUGAGAAAGAAAUCAUUAUUAUGCUAAGCAGCUGAGAUGUGGGAGUGGGUUACUUUAACUAAUUCAACAGUGUUCGGGUCCUCUACAGCACUGACUGGCAGUUACAAUUUAUUUGUAUGUUAUUCACUUACUGCUGUCUUCUUUGCUCAAUUGUAAGCUCUGUGAGGGCAGCGACCAAAUCUAUUUCAUCUACUACCAUAGCUAAUAGCAAAUGCCCAGCCUGCAGCAAACACCCGGUAAUAUUUGUUAAUGGAAUAUUGGGAGGGUGGGAAAUGAAGGCAACUAAGUGAUCAGGGGUCAUGGUCACAAAGUGCUCCCACUGCCAGUGACAUGGGAACUGUGCUUAAUGAAAUUUAAAUCAAGAAUCAGAAA
This is a long non-coding RNA of Felis catus (domestic cat), 1135 nucleotides long. RefSeq lists it as uncharacterized. The transcript has 2 exons. Lineage: Eukaryota; Metazoa; Chordata; Mammalia; Carnivora; Felidae. The record is from RefSeq and is a predicted model, not a curated record.